GCUGUGUGUUUGCUCCCUCUUCCUGCUGUCCCGAGAUCUCUGGGAUCUGCAAUCCAAAAUCACAGCAACAGAACUCUGUAGAGUUGCUCAUCACUUCCUCUUGCUGCUUCCAGGUGCCUCUGGGAUUUGUAAUCCACAAUCACAGACAGCAGUAAGUAAGCAGGGUAUGUGUA
Molecule: long non-coding RNA, 173 nt
Organism: Gavialis gangeticus (Gharial)
Lineage: Eukaryota; Metazoa; Chordata; Crocodylia; Gavialidae
Exons: 3
Source: RefSeq, a predicted model, not a curated record